AACCGGAUUAGAUACCCUGGUAGUCCACGCCGUAAACGAUGAUAACUCGAUGUGUGCGAUAAACAGUACGCGUCUAAGCGAAAGUGAUAAGUUAUCCACCUGGGGAGUACGUCCGCAAGGAUGAAACUCAAAGGAAUUGACGGGGGCCCGCACAAGCGGAGGAGCAUGUGGUUUAAUUCGAUGAUACGCGAGGAACCUUACCUGGGCUUAAAUGUAGGACGACUUAUUGGGAAACCAGUAUUUCUUCGGACGUUUUACAAGGUGCUGCAUGGUUGUCGUCAGCUCGUGCCGUGAGGUGUCGGGUUAAGUCCCAUAACGAGCGCAACCCCUAUCCUUAGUUGCCAGCACGUCAUGGUGGGGACUCUAAGGGAACUGCCUACGCAAGUAGAGAGGAAGGUGGGGAUGACGUCAAAUCAGCACGGCCCUUAUGUCCAGGGCUACACACGUGCUACAAUGGGUGGUACAGAGGGCCGCUACCUGGCGACAGGGUGCCAAUCUCAAAAACCAUUCUCAGUUCGGAUUGAAGUCUGCAACUCGACUUCAUGAAGUUGGAUUCGCUAGUAAUCGCGCAUCAGCAAUGGCGCGGUGAAUACGUUCCCGGGCCUUGUACACACCGCCCGUCAAGCCAUGGGAGUUGGGGGUACCUGAAGUCGAUAACCGCAAGGAGUCGCCUAGGGUAAAACCAAUGACUGGGGCUAAGUCGUAACAAGGUACC
RNAcentral lists this ribosomal RNA (715 nucleotides) under uncultured bacterium. RNAcentral describes it as "bacterial SSU rRNA". It matches the Rfam family "Bacterial small subunit ribosomal RNA", at positions 771 to 1500 of the family's 1533-position model. The record is from RNAcentral.